This 597-nucleotide ribosomal RNA is filed under the name Triticum aestivum (bread wheat). Its description in RNAcentral is "partial small subunit ribosomal RNA". The record is from RNAcentral. Lineage: Eukaryota; Viridiplantae; Streptophyta; Magnoliopsida; Poales; Poaceae.
AUGCCUCUCUAUAUAGUAUCUGACAGAGACCCAGUUUUCACCAGCAAAUUCUGGAAGGCUCUGGUGAAGAGAACAAGAGUUGUACUUAAUAUGAGCACAGCCUAUCAUCCUGAAACUGAUGGGCAGACUGAGCGUGCUAAUCAGCAAGUGGAGUGUUUUUUGAGAUGUUUCAUCAGUGCUCAUCCGAACAAGUGGGCAAAAUGGCUUUCUCUUUGUGAGUUUUGGUAUAAUACCAACUGGCAUUCAACUCUCAACAAAUCUCCAUUUGAGGUUCUUUAUGGUCAAGGUCCUCGGCAUUUUGGCAUUUCCAUUUCAGAUUCGAUUGACCCUGUGGAUUUGCAGCAGUGGUUAGAUGCUCGAGCAAUGGUUCAGCAGUCAGUGCGUCAGCAUUUGUUGCGUGUUCAGCAAAGAAUGAAACAUCAAGCUGACAAGAAAUGUAUUGAAAGGAUAUUUGAUGUGGGGGAUCGGGUCUUUCUUAAACUUCAGCCGUAUGUGCAGUCAUCAGUGGUGCAUAGAGCAAACCAUAAACUUGCCUUCAAGUAUUUUGGUCCGUUCCUGAUUCUGGAGAAGAUUGGUGAAGUGGCUUAUCGGUUGUAG